CUCAACCUGAAUUGUGCUCAGGCUCGUUUUGUGCAGGAUAGGUGGGAGGCUUUGAUCCAUUGCUUGCGGCUAACGGGGAGCCACUGGUGAGAUACCACUCUUUCCAAGCUAUAGUUCUAACCCUGACCCGUUAUCCGGGGAGGGAACACUAUCACGUGUGCACUUUGACUGGGGCGGUCGCCCCCCAAAAGGUAACGGAGACGAGUAAAGGUUCCCUCUCGCUGGGUGUAAAUCUCCCGACGAGAGCAAAGGGGUAAAGGAGCUUGACUGUGAGACCUACAACUCGAGCAGGGACGAAAGUCGGCGUUAUAGAUCCCACGGGUCUGCGUGUGAAGGGCGCCUCUCUCCGCAUAAAAAUUGCUCUCUGGAUAACACGCGGAGAAGCUCUAUAUA
RNAcentral lists this ribosomal RNA (393 nucleotides) under uncultured cyanobacterium. RNAcentral describes it as "bacterial LSU rRNA". It matches the Rfam family "Bacterial large subunit ribosomal RNA", at positions 2105 to 2498 of the family's 2925-position model. Lineage: Bacteria; Bacillati; Cyanobacteriota. The record is from RNAcentral.